Molecule: ribosomal RNA, 1237 nt
Filed under: human gut metagenome
Description: bacterial LSU rRNA
Rfam family: Bacterial large subunit ribosomal RNA
Source: RNAcentral
AGAGUGCGUAAUAGCUCACUAGUCGAGAGGUCCUGCGCCGAAAAUGUCCGGGGCUAAAACACACUGCCGAAGCUUUGGAAUUGAGAAUUCAAUUGGUAGAGGAGCAUUCUUAAAGGGACGAAGCAGUACCGUAAGGAGCUGUGGACUUUUAAGAAGAGAGAAUGCCGGAAUGAGUAGCGAGAGGAAGGUGGGAAUCCUUCCGGCCGAAUAUCUAAGGUUUCCAGAGUAAAGCUGAUCUGCUCUGGGUAAGUCGGGGCCUAAGGCGAGGUCGAAAGACGUAGUCGAUGGAUAACAGGUUGAAAUUCCUGUACUAUCCUGUAACAGAACUGUGGGGACGCAGACAGAGAGCACAAGCCGGGAAUGGAAAGACCGGUGCAAGCGAGGUAGGAGUACAUCAGGCAAAUCCGGUGUGCAAUCCGAAGACGUGAUGCGGAUCGAAAAGAAGUAGAGAAGUGUGUGAGCUGGCUGCCAAGAAAAGCCGCUAUUGUUUACAGGAUACCCGUACCGUAAACCGACACAGGUGGAUGAGGAGAGAAUCCUAAGGCCGACGGAAGAAGCAUUGUUAAGGAACUCGGCAAAAUGACCCCGUAACUUCGGGAGAAGGGGUGCCCUGUGAAAGCAGGGCCGCAGAGAAUAGGCUCAAGCAACUGUUUAGCAAAAACACAGGUCUAUGCGAAACCGAAAGGUGAGGUAUAUGGGCUGACGCCUGCCCGGUGCUGGAAGGUUAAGAGGAGAGGUUAGCGGUAACGCGAAGCUUUGAAUUUAAGCCCCAGUAAACGGCGGCCGUAACUAUAACGGUCCUAAGGUAGCGAAAUUCCUUGUCGGGUAAGUUCCGACCCGCACGAAAGGCGUAAUGAUUUGAGCGCUGUCUCGACAAUGCAUCCGGUGAAAUUGAAGUACCAGUGAAGAUGCUGGUUACCUGCGCCAGGACGGAAAGACCCCAUGGAGCUUUACUCCAGUCUGGUACUGGGACUCGGUAUUGCAUGUACAGGAUAGGUGGGAGGCUAGGAGAUGGUAACGCCAGUUGCCAUGGAGCCGCUGUUGGGAUACCACCCUUGCAGUAUUGGGUUUCUAACCAGCCGCCGUGACCCGGCGGUGGGACAAUGCCAGACGGGGAGUUUGACUGGGGCGGUCGCCUCCGAAAGGGUAUCGGAGGCGCCCAAAGGUUCCCUCAGAAUGGACGGAAACCAUUCGAAGAGUGCAAAGGCAGAAGGGAGCUUGACUGCGACACCGACGG